RNAcentral lists this ribosomal RNA (119 nucleotides) under Danio rerio (zebrafish). Lineage: Eukaryota; Metazoa; Chordata; Actinopteri; Cypriniformes; Danionidae. The record is from RNAcentral.
UAUAUAGGUAAUGUCCAUCCCUGCAACUUUCACAAGGUCGCCCAUUGAAGUUAAGCAGGGCUGCGCCCAAUCAGUACCUGGAUGGGAGACCACAUGUGAAAGCUAGGUUGCUGCCAGAA